CCAAUGUGAACCAUACCAAACUGUUGCCUCGGCGGGGUCACGCCCCGGGUGCGUCGCAGCCCCGGAACCAGGCGCCCGCCGGAGGGACCAACCAAACUCUUUCUGUAGUCCCCUCGCGGACGUUAUUUCUUACAGCUCUGAGCAAAAAUUCAAAAUGAAUCAAAACUUUCAACAACGGAUCUCUUGGUUCUGGCAUCGAUGAAGAACGCAGCGAAAUGCGAUAAGUAAUGUGAAUUGCAGAAUUCAGUGAAUCAUCGAAUCUUUGAACGCACAUUGCGCCCGCCAGUAUUCUGGCGGGCAUGCCUGUCCGAGCGUCAUUUCAACCCUCGAACCCCUCCGGGGGGUCGGCGUUGGGGAUCGGGAACCCCUAAGACGGGAUCCCGGCCCCGAAAUACAGUGGCGGUCUCGCCGCAGCCUCUCCUGCGCAGUAGUUUGCACAACUCGCACCGGGAGCGCGGCGCGUCCACGUCCGUAAAACACCCAACUUCUGAAAUGUUGACCUCGGAUCAGGUAGGAAUACCCGCUGAACUUAAGCAUAUCAAUAAGCGGAGG
This 552-nucleotide ribosomal RNA is filed under the name Trichoderma koningiopsis. RNAcentral's name for it is "eukaryotic LSU rRNA". The stretch from base 164 to 317 matches the Rfam family "5.8S ribosomal RNA". Lineage: Eukaryota; Fungi; Ascomycota; Sordariomycetes; Hypocreales; Hypocreaceae. The record is from RNAcentral.